CAGCAGCCGCGGGAAUACAGAGGGUGCGAGCGUUAAUCGGAUUUACUGGGCGUAAAGCGUGCGUAGGCGGCUUCUUAAGUCGGAUGUGAAAUCCCUGAGCUUAACUUAGGAAUUGCAUUCGAUACUGGGAAGCUAGAGUAUGGGAGAGGAUGGUAGAAUUCCAGGUGUAGCGGUGAAAUGCGUAGAGAUCUGGAGGAAUACCGAUGGCGAAGGCAGCCAUCUGGCCUAAUACUGACGCUGAGGUACGAAAGCAUGGGGAGCAAACAGGAUUAGAUACCCCUGUAGUCCCUGUCUCUUUACC
This 301-nucleotide ribosomal RNA is filed under the name uncultured bacterium. RNAcentral's name for it is "partial 16S ribosomal RNA". It matches the Rfam family "Bacterial small subunit ribosomal RNA", at positions 509 to 808 of the family's 1533-position model. The record is from RNAcentral.